Molecule: long non-coding RNA, 725 nt
Filed under: Eucalyptus grandis
Lineage: Eukaryota; Viridiplantae; Streptophyta; Magnoliopsida; Myrtales; Myrtaceae
Description: long non-coding RNA (EGRA_LNC007654)
Source: RNAcentral
UUUUUUAUUAAAAUAUAUAUUUUUUUAAUUGACUAUAAUAUUAAAAUAUUAAAAAAAGACCUAAGUCGGGUUCCCAGGUUGGGAUCGUCGACCCAAGCGCGGGAUUUUUUCCUUUCAAACGUAAAAGCCCAAACCAAUUUUUGGCCCGUUUCCACAAAAUAUUCCAGCCCAACGGCUACCCGGCCCACGCGUACAAACCCGGCCUAGGCAGAACCCUACCCGAACGACGAUCGGGUCCGACCCAACUCAGUUGCCGCGACCCGAAUCCUGAAAACCCUACGCGGAUCCGACCCGGUUGACGACCCGGUUCGUAAAAACCCUACCCGGAUAACGACCCGGCCUUCGAGACCUCCUCUGGUCGGCUCGUUCGGCGUCUUCUCCUCCGGCCGCCCUUCCUCCGACCGCGAGCUUUUGGAUCUAGGCGUGCGAGCGUUCGGGCCUCCCCUGAAGUCUCUCGGGGGAGGGUUUCUAAGCUCGCCUGCUUUCGAUCUUUACUCGCGUCGUCGGUGCCUUUGCCUUCCCCUCCGGUGCCCUAUUUAUAGGCGCGGAGGGGCCGGUCGGCGGUGGUUAGGCCGGCGGUCCCUGGUGUGCCGACCGGCCUUCCUCCGCCGGUCGAACCGGCGUCAGUUCUUCCCCAUCCACGGAGGCGUGCUGGCCUUCAAUGCCGCGUCCUCUCAGCCACCGGCAGAGGCUCCUCGCUCUGCCCUAGCUCGUCCUUCGCGCGU